CAAGUCGAGGGGCAGCAUGGUGUAGCAAUACACUGAUGGCGACCGGCAAACGGGUGCGGAACACGUACAGAACCUUCCUUCGAGCGGGGAAUAGCCCAGAGAAAUUUGGAUUAAUACCCCAUAGUACAUUAGAGUGGCAUCACUUUAAUGUUAAAGAUUUAUCACUUGAAGAUGGCUGUGCGGCUGAUUAGGUAGUUGGCGGGGUAACGGCCCACCAAGCCUGCGAUCAGUAACUGGUGUGAGAGCACGACCAGUCACACGGGCACUGAGACACGGGCCCGACUCCUACGGGAGGCAGCAGUAAGGAAUAUUGGUCAAUGGACGAAAGUCUGAACCAGCCAUGCCGCGUGGAGGAUGAAGGUCCUCUGGAUUGUAAACUUCUUUUAUAUGGGACGAAAAAAGGCUUUUCUAAGUCGUCUGACGGUACCAUAUGAAUAAGCACCGGCUAACUCCGUGCCAGCAGCCGCGGUAAUACGGAGGGUGCAAGCGUUAUCCGGAUUCACUGGGUUUAAAGGGUGCGUAGGUGGGUUGGUAAGUCAGUGGUGAAAUCCCCGAGCUUAACUUGGGAACUGCCAUUGAUACUAUCAGUCUUGAAUACCGUGGAGGUCAGCGGAAUAUGUCAUGUAGCGGUGAAAUGCUUAGAUACGACAUAGAACACCAAUUGCGAAGGCAGCUGGCUACUCGAAUAUUGACACUGAGGCACGAAAGCGUGGGGAUCAAACA
RNAcentral lists this ribosomal RNA (723 nucleotides) under uncultured bacterium. RNAcentral's name for it is "bacterial SSU rRNA". It matches the Rfam family "Bacterial small subunit ribosomal RNA", at positions 58 to 774 of the family's 1533-position model. The record is from RNAcentral.